This 1993-nucleotide long non-coding RNA is filed under the name Sus scrofa (pig). RNAcentral's name for it is "lncRNA (ENSSSCG00015065226.1)". Lineage: Eukaryota; Metazoa; Chordata; Mammalia; Artiodactyla; Suidae. The record is from RNAcentral.
GGAGAUGGUGCCCUGAUAGAACUGGACCUGAAGCUCUGCACUUGUGUGCUUCAAUACAAACCAGGUUUCUGGACUCACACAGACUUGAAACCAAAGCCAGGCUCGACCACAGAUAGUUCGAGGCUCCAGGAUGUUCCUGAGAUGGCGAAGCUGGCAUCCCUCACGGUCUGAAGGCAGGGGAGGCCCUGAGCUAGCCAAGGAGACCUCACACUGGAACACGAUGAAACUGUCUGUCAGAUGAGGCUCUGCAAAGUGAGUCAUCUGAUGGCGCCAAGCUGCUCACGGCUUAUUAGACAGUAACACGGCGUGCACUCCAGAGCCUCCACUUCCAAACACAGCCAGUGGUGAGCGUGUUCUCGGAGUCACAAAGAUCACAUGCAGAGAGCCUUGGAGCAGGAGGGGAACCCAGAGGGCCUUGGAGAUCAGAGGCCCAGAGAGGGAAAGCGACCUGCCCAGGACCUCCUAGUAAACUGAUGAGACACGGUUUGAGAACCCUCUUUUUCCCCAGCCUGCACACCUCUGUCCUUAUGUUGCACACGCCCACGUGCCUCUGGCUGUCUUGGGGGCUCUGGAUUCGAUGGCUGGGCUUUCCCUCUCAAUGCAGGAGCCCUCAGUCGGUAAGCCUACUCACCCCCUUGCUGAGCACCCCCUGGAAGCAAGAAAAUUGGAAAGAGACAGCUGGGCUGGAGUCUUAACUAUUUUAAUAACGUUUGGUACCAUGGCUGUUGCUGGGAGAUUAGCAGGGAAAUGUAACGGUGUGUAAUUUUUCCUAAGAAUUGCAUUAACAAAAUCAAAUGGGCAGAUGGAGGUGGAAGUUGGGGGGCAGGGAUAGAGCGCUUUCUGGAGGCUUCCUUGGGAGGGAGUUUCUAGGCUCAGGACCUCAGCAAAGCUCUGGGGUGUAAGUGAGAGCUUUCCUUGAGCCAUCUCUCAUCUUUCCUAUCCCUGCCUGUCCUCCAUGUGGGAGGAGAGGCAAGGCAGGGGAAAGAGAAGAAGGACUGGGUUCAAAUUUCUAUCCUGCUGCUUUCUCACGGGGGCGGGGGGGGGGGCUUAGAUAAGUGGCUUUACCUCUCUUGAGUGUGUGCUUCCUUGCCUGUAGCUAGGGGUAGCCAUGCAAGGCUCUUCCAGGGAUCAGGAUGCUAAGCGUGGUGUCUGAUGCAGAGUGGCCUGGGAUGGACGCCUGUCUGGUUAACUCUCCAAAUGUCCACUCUCUGGCCCACCCAGAUCAUACCAUCUACCUCUCAUGCUCCACUUUCUAUAGCAGGAGGCUUCUCUGCAUGUCAGGCCAGGGCUGCGGCCAAGGACAAGGCCAGAGAAGGCAGGACCUCUUUCCUGCAUACAGGGAGCUGAGAAGGCCAGGCAUUCACAUCCACUUUUCUUCAGCCUGGCAGCAGAUUUAAGACACUACAGAGUGUGCUCUCAGCCAGAAUCACCCGAUCUGUCUCAAAAACCCUGAGAGAAAGGGGGCUACUGGGCCCCAUUUUACAGAUGGGGAAACUGAGGCUCGGACAGAUUGUCAGCAGGUCAGUAGCAGAAUUAAAAAUGGAGCAGAAAUACCAGAUGGGAAAUCCCAAAUUCUUCUUGCAACAUUCCUUUGUCAUAUAUCUUCCAUCCAACUUUUUACACAUUUUCUCAUUUUCUCUUUGGUUUGCUUUUGCACCAUCAACUAGACUGUAAGCUGCUUGAGGGUAGACCUUUGUGCUUACCCACUACGUUUCAUGAGACUUGGCACACAGCAUGUGCUCAGGUAAGACAUCAAAUUAAAUGGGCAGAGACCUGGUGAGGUACUAUUUCCUUAGUAAGUCCAGGCUCCGAGUUGUCCCUUUCUCCCACACUCCAGCCUACAUACACACACGCCACACACACAUGCCACGCACGCAUACACGGCUUGCAGAAUCUAAUAACAACCAGUUUAAAAACAUACUAAAAACAGAAAAUUUAUGUAGCAUGACCCAAAUUGAAUUAUACAUUACAGCACUAUAAUUGAUUUUUUAGA